Molecule: small nuclear RNA, 18 nt
Filed under: Arabidopsis thaliana (thale cress)
Lineage: Eukaryota; Viridiplantae; Streptophyta; Magnoliopsida; Brassicales; Brassicaceae
Description: snRNA_09984
Source: RNAcentral
CUGCCACGAUCCACUGAG